AGAGUUUGAUCCUGGCUCAGAACGAACGCUGGCGGCGUGCUUAACACAUGCAAGUCGAACGCGAAAGUUUUCUUCGGAAGACGAGUAGAGUGGCGCACGGGUGAGUAACGCGUAAGUUAUCUACCUCGGCAUCUGGAAUAACUCACCGAAAGGUGUGCUAAUACCGGAUACGUUGAGUAAUCAAGAAAGGUGGCCUCUGAAUAUGCUACCGAUUAUGGAUGGACCCGCUUACAGAUGAGCUUGCGUACCAUUAGCUAGUUGGUGGGGUAAUGGCCUACCAAAGCGACGAUGGGUAGCCGGCCUGAGAGGGUGACCGGCCACACUGGAACUGAGAUACGGUCCAGACUCCUACGGGAGGCAGCAGUGGGGAAUCUUCCGCAAUGGGCGAAAGCCUGACGGAGCAACGCCGCGUGGAUGAUGAAGGCCUUCGGGUCGUAAAAUCCUGUCAGGUGGAAAGAAGUGCAUAGUGGCUAAUAUCCAUUAUGUUUGACGGUACCACCGAAGGAAGCACCGGCUAACUCCGUGCCAGCAGCCGCGGUAAUACGGAGGGUGCAAGCGUUGUUCGGAAUUAUUGGGCGUAAAGCGCGUGUAGGCGGUUUGUUAAGUCUGAUGUGAAAGCCCUGGGCUCAACCCAGGAAGUGCAUUGGAUACUGGCAGACUUGAAUACGGGAGAGGGUAGUGGAAUUCCUAGUGUAGGAGUGAAAUCCGUAGAUAUUAGGAGGAACACCGGUGGCGAAGGCGGCUACCUGGACCGAUAUUGACGCUGAGACGCGAAAGCGUGGGGAGCAAACAGGAUUAGAUACCCUGGUAGUCCACGCCGUAAACGAUGAGUACUAGGUGUUGCGGGUAUUGACCCCUGCAGUGCCGCAGCUAACGCAUUAAGUACUCCGCCUGGGAAGUACGGUCGCAAGACUAAAACUCAAAGGAAUUGACGGGGGCCCGCACAAGCGGUGGAGUAUGUGGUUUAAUUCGACGCAACGCGAAGAACCUUACCAAGGCUUGACAUCCCGUGACAGCCAUGGAAACAUGGUCUUGCAAGUUUACUUGCACACGGAGACAGGUGGUGCAUGGUUGUCGUCAGCUCGUGUCGUGAGAUGUUGGGUUAAGUCCCGCAACGAGCGCAACCCCUACUCAGUUGCCAUCAUUAAGUUGGGCACUCUAAGGAGACUGCCGGUGUCAAACCGGAGGAAGGUGGGGAUGACGUCAAGUCCUCAUGGCCCUUAUGUCCAGGGCUACACACGUGCUACAAUGGCCGGUACAAAGAGUUGCGAUACCGCGAGGUGGAGCCAAUCUCAUAAAGCCGGUCUCAGUUCGGAUUGGAGUCUGCAACUCGACUCCAUGAAGUUGGAAUCGCUAGUAAUCGCGGAUCAGAUUUCCGCGGUGAAUACGUUCCCGGGCCUUGUACACACCGCCCGUCACACCACGGGAGUUGGUUGUACCAGAAGCAGUUGAGCCAACC
This 1459-nucleotide ribosomal RNA is filed under the name uncultured bacterium. RNAcentral's name for it is "bacterial SSU rRNA". It matches the Rfam family "Bacterial small subunit ribosomal RNA". The record is from RNAcentral.